RNAcentral lists this ribosomal RNA (497 nucleotides) under uncultured bacterium. RNAcentral's name for it is "partial 16S ribosomal RNA". It matches the Rfam family "Bacterial small subunit ribosomal RNA", at positions 28 to 507 of the family's 1533-position model. The record is from RNAcentral.
GACGAACGCUGGCGGCGUGCCUAAUACAUGCAAGUUGAGCGCUGAAGGUUGGUACUUGUACCAACUGGAUGAGCAGCGAACGGGUGAGUAACGCGUGGGGAAUCUGCCUUUGAGCGGGGGACAACAUUUGGAAACGAAUGCUAAUACCGCAUAAAAACUUUAAACACAAGUUUUAAGUUUGAAAGAUGCAAUUGCAUCACUCAAAGAUGAUCCCGCGUUGUAUUAGCUAGUUGGUGAGGUAAAGGCUCACCAAGGCGAUGAUACAUAGCCGACCUGAGAGGGUGAUCGGCCACAUUGGGACUGAGACACGGCCCAAACUCCUACGGGAGGCAGCAGUAGGGAAUCUUCGGCCAUGGACGAAAGUCUGACCGAGCAACGCCGCGGGAGUGAAGAAGGUUUUCGGAUCGUAAAACUCUGUUGGUAGAGAAGAACGUUGGUGAGAGUGGAAAGCUCAUCAAGUGACGGUAACUACCCAGAAAGGGACGGCUAACUACGUG